AACCUGGUUGAUCCUGCCAGUAGUCAUAUGCUUGUCUCAAAGAUUAAGCCAUGCAUGUCUCAGCCUAAGCUUGUUAAACGGCAAUGCUGCGAAUGGCUCAUUAAAACAGUUAGAUUGUCUUUGGUGGUCAAUCCUUACACGGAUAACUGUGGUAAUUCUAGAGCUAAUACAUGCACCAAAGCCCGACUUCUCGGAAGGGUUGUGUUUAUUAGUUACAGAACCAACCCAGGCUUGCCUGGUCUUGUGGUGAUUCAUAAUAACCGAACGAAUCGCGUAGCAUCCGCUGGCGAUAUACCAUAUCACUUUCUGAC
RNAcentral lists this ribosomal RNA (311 nucleotides) under Pfiesteria sp. Its description in RNAcentral is "SSU rRNA". It matches the Rfam family "Eukaryotic small subunit ribosomal RNA", at positions 1 to 311 of the family's 1831-position model. Lineage: Eukaryota; Dinophyceae; Peridiniales; Pfiesteriaceae. The record is from RNAcentral.